CAAAGUCAUAAUUAAGUGGGAAACGAAGUGGGAAGGCUCAGACAGCCAGGAUGUUGGCUUAGAAGCAGCCAUCAUUUAAAGAAAGCGUAAUAGCUCACUGGUCGAGUCGGCCUGCGCGGAAGAUGUAACGGGGCUAAAUUAUGCACCGAAGCCGCGGCAGCGAUAUGUAAAUAUUGUUGGGUAGGGGAGCGUUCUGUAAGCCUGUGAAGGUGACCUGUGAGGGUUGCUGGAGGUAUCAGAAGUGCGAAUGCUGACAUAAGUAACGAUAAUGCGGGUGAAAAACCCGCACGCCGGAAGACCAAGGGUUCCUGUCCAACGUUAAUCGGGGCAGGGUGAGUCGACCCCUAAGGCGAGGCUGAAAAGCGUAGUCGAUGGGCAACGGGUUAAUAUUCCCGUACUGGUGGUAACUGCGAAGGGGGGACGGAGAAAGCUAAAUCAUCCGGGCGACGGUUGUCCCGGUUUAAGCGUGCAGGUGGACUGACCAGGCAAAUCCGGUCGGUUGUUAACACUGAGGCGUGACGACGAGCCACUACGGUGGUGAAGUGAUUGAUGCUCUGCUUCCGGGAAAAGCCUCUAAGCUCCAGGUUA
This 588-nucleotide ribosomal RNA is filed under the name Morganella morganii. RNAcentral's name for it is "partial 23S ribosomal RNA". It matches the Rfam family "Bacterial large subunit ribosomal RNA", at positions 1048 to 1634 of the family's 2925-position model. Lineage: Bacteria; Pseudomonadati; Pseudomonadota; Gammaproteobacteria; Enterobacterales; Morganellaceae. The record is from RNAcentral.